CCCAGACAGCCAGGAUGUUGGCUUAGAAGCAGCCAUCAUUUAAAGAAAGCGUAAUAGCUCACUGGUCGAGUCGGCCUGCGCGGAAGAUGUAACGGGGCUAAACCAUGCACCGAAGCUGCGGCAGCGACGCUUAUGCGUUGUUGGGUAGGGGAGCGUUCUGUAAGCCUGUGAAGGUGUGUCGUGAGGCAUGCUGGAGGUAUCAGAAGUGCGAAUGCUGACAUAAGUAACGAUAAAGCGGGUGAAAAGCCCGCUCGCCGGAAGACCAA
This 266-nucleotide ribosomal RNA is filed under the name Salmonella enterica. Its description in RNAcentral is "partial 23S ribosomal RNA". It matches the Rfam family "Bacterial large subunit ribosomal RNA", at positions 1084 to 1348 of the family's 2925-position model. The record is from RNAcentral. Lineage: Bacteria; Pseudomonadati; Pseudomonadota; Gammaproteobacteria; Enterobacterales; Enterobacteriaceae.